This 1180-nucleotide ribosomal RNA is filed under the name Endoxyla macrostoma. RNAcentral describes it as "eukaryotic LSU rRNA". It matches the Rfam family "Eukaryotic large subunit ribosomal RNA", at positions 1 to 1214 of the family's 3401-position model. The record is from RNAcentral. Lineage: Eukaryota; Fungi; Ascomycota; Sordariomycetes; Boliniales; Boliniaceae.
UUGACCUCGGAUCAGGUAGGAAUACCCGCUGAACUUAAGCAUAUCAAUAAGCGGAGGAAAAGAAACCAACAGGGAUUGCCCCAGUAACGGCGAGUGAAGCGGCAACAGCUCAAAUUUGAAAUCCGGCUUCGGCCCGAGUUGUAAUUUGCAGAGGAUGCUUUUGGCGCGGCGCCUCCCGAGUCCCCUGGAACGGGGCGCCACAGAGGGUGAGAGCCCCGUAUGGUAGGACGCCUAGCCUGUGUAAAGCUCCUUCGACGAGUCGAGUAGUUUGGGAAUGCUGCUCAAAAUGGGAGGUAAAUUCCUUCUAAAGCUAAAUACCGGCCAGAGACCGAUAGCGCACAAGUAGAGUGAUCGAAAGAUGAAAAGUACUUUGAAAAGAGGGUUAAACAGCACGUGAAAUUGUUGAAAGGGAAGCGCUCGUGACCAGACUUGCGCCGGGUCGAUCAUCUGGUGUUCUCACCGGUGCACUCGGCCCGGUUCAGGCCAGCAUCGGUUCUCGCGGGGGGAUAAAAGCCCUGGGAACGUAGCUCCUCCGGGAGUGUUAUAGCCCUGGGCACAAUACCCUCGCGGGGACCGAGGCCCGCGCUCUGCAAGGAUGCUGGCGUAAUGGUCACCAGCGACCCGUCUUGAAACACGGACCAAGGAGUCAAGGUUUUGCGCGAGUGUUUGGGUGUAAAACCCGCACGCGUAAUGAAAGUGAACGUAGGUGAGAGCUUCGGCGCAUCAUCGACCGAUCCUGAUGUUCUCGGACGGAUUUGAGUAAGAGCGUAAUGCCUUGGACCCGAAAGAUGGUGAACUAUGCCUGGAUAGGGUGAAGCCAGAGGAAACUCUGGUGGAGGCUCGCAGCGGUUCUGACGUGCAAAUCGAUCGUCAAAUCAGGGCAUGGGGGCGAAAGACUAAUCGAACCAUCUAGUAGCUGGUUACCGCCGAAGUUUCCCUCAGGAUAGCAGUGUUGAUCUUCAGUUUUAUGAGGUAAAGCGAAUGAUUAGGGACUCGGGGGCGCUAUUUUGCCUUCAUCCAUUCUCAAACUUUAAAUAUGUAAGAAGCCCUUGUUACUUGGCUGAACGUGGGCAUUCGAAUGUACCAACACUAGUGGGCCAUUUUUGGUAAGCAGAACUGGCGAUGCGGGAUGAACCGAACGCGGGGUUAAGGUGCCGGAGUGGACGCUCAUCAGACACCA